CUUGACUGUAUCCUGGAAUUGGGUUCGGGCUUUUCUUGCGCAGUCUAGGUGGGAGGCUAUGAAGAUUUCCUUCCGGGGAAGUUGGAGCCAUCAGUGAGAGACCACUCUGGAGAGGCUAGAAUCCUAAUGGUGAUCCUUGAAUUAGGACACUUGACGGUUUCAGGUGGGCAGUUUUUCUGGGGCGGAAGCCUCAUAAAGGGUAACUGAGGCGCGCAAAGGUCCCCUCAGUCUGGACGGAAAUCAGACAACGAGUGUAAAGGCAAAAGGGGGCUUGACUGCAAGACCUACAAGUCGAGCAGGAGCGAAAGCUGGCCUUAGUGAUCCGACGGUACCGCGUGGAAGGGCCGUCGCUCAACGAAUAAAGGUUA
RNAcentral lists this ribosomal RNA (368 nucleotides) under uncultured organism. Its description in RNAcentral is "bacterial LSU rRNA". It matches the Rfam family "Bacterial large subunit ribosomal RNA", at positions 2099 to 2465 of the family's 2925-position model. The record is from RNAcentral.